RNAcentral lists this ribosomal RNA (497 nucleotides) under uncultured bacterium. Its description in RNAcentral is "partial 16S ribosomal RNA". It matches the Rfam family "Bacterial small subunit ribosomal RNA", at positions 28 to 507 of the family's 1533-position model. The record is from RNAcentral.
GAUGAACGCUGGCGGCGUGCCUAAUACAUGCAAGUCGAGCGAACAGACGAGGAGCUUGCUCCUCUGACGUUAGCGGCGGACGGGUGAGUAACACGUGGAUAACCUACCUAUAAGACUGGGAUAACUUCGGGAAACCGGAGCUAAUACCGGAUAAUAUAUUGAACCGCAUGGUUCAAUAGUGAAAGACGGUUUUGCUGUCACUUAUAGAUGUAUCCGCGCCGCAUUAGCUAGUUGGUAAGGUAACGGCUUACCAAGGCAACGAUGCGUAGCCGACCUGAGAGGGUGAUCGGCCCAACUGGAACUGAGACACGGUCCAGACUCCUACGGGAGGCAGAAGUAGGGAAUCUUCCGCAAUGGGCGAAAGCCUGACGGAGCAACGCCGCGUGAGUGAUGAAGGUCUUCGGAUCGUAAAACUCUGUUAUUAGGGAAGAACAAAUGUGUAAGUAACUAUGCACGUCUUGACGGUACCUAAUCAGAAAGCCACGGCUAACUACGUG